Molecule: long non-coding RNA, 977 nt
Organism: Oncorhynchus tshawytscha (Chinook salmon)
Lineage: Eukaryota; Metazoa; Chordata; Actinopteri; Salmoniformes; Salmonidae
Source: Ensembl
GGCUCAAAUCCAGACUGCGUUUCUAUCAAAGUGGCCCACCUUCCCUGUGGCCGUCAUGGUUGCUGUAUGGACAGUGGAGGGGACAUGGAUGCCUCGUUUGUCAUGCCACUUUACUAACAGCUGUUGACAUUUUUUAUUUUGUAUAACGUGUCAUUUGGAAUGGCAGUAGCAUUGUUGAUGAAAUGCAGUCAUCGCAGCAGAACUAGGAAGCGGUAAAGAGGGUAGCAAAGAAGGGAGUAGCAAACGUAGGAUCUGUGCUCCAGAAUUCUCUUAGGGAGUUCUUCUUUACUAUCCCCAUGAGAAGGACUGUCACCAGUAAGGUAUACAUUUCACUAAUUGUGGUUGUCCCCCCAUUCUCUUGGCUCUCUCUUCUCCUGUAGCUCCAAGGCAUAGUGAUUGGUCUCGGUUAUGUCUCCCUCCAGCUCCUCUGUCAGAAAGAACUUGAAGCACUCUGCCUCAGAUGGAAAUGGCAAGGGGCGUUGCACUCCAGACUGGGAGUCAAAGCAAACAGCAGGGCCAGGAGGGGUGAAAUUGCUGGCAGCCUUCCAGCUACCACAGAACUCCUGUACUUCAUCCAUUGUUGGCCUGCCUCCAUCACCACCAGCAUCUUCAAAGGGACCUGGGACUUCGUCAGUGGACAAGGGUCCUCAGAUUCAGGGUUCUCAAUGGCUACAAGGUUGGGGGGCAGCUCCUCACUGUCAGAAUCUGAUUCCUGACUUUCAGACUCAUUGUCAGAAUUUUUUUAAAUCUCAAGAAUUUCCACAUUUGUGAGUUGUCUCCUUUUGAAAGACAUUGCUAAUGCUACAGCUUAGCUCACUAGCUACAUACAUAAACAACAACACUGAAUGGCUCAGAGUGGGAGUGAGAGGUUAUGUGAUUGACAGCCGGCACGGGCCACUUGUAGAAAUAAAUCACUAUCAGAAAAUGCUUGUGGUAAUUAUUUCUAUAUAUACUGUUUGAUUCACUUUUUUUUAAAC